GCAAGGGAGCCAUGACAGGUGCUGCAUGGCUGUCGUCAGCUCGUGCCGUGAGGUGUUCGGUUAAGUCCGCGAACAAGCGCAACCCCUGUUGCCAGUUACAAGUGUCUGGCGAGACUGCCGGUGACAAGCCGGAGGAAGGUGGGAUGACGUCAAGUCAGCAUGGCCUUUAUAUCCAGGGCGACACACACGCUACAAUGGACGGUACAGAGGGCAGCGAGACCGCGAGGUGGAGCGAAUCCCAGAAAGCCGUUCUCAGUUCGGAUUGCAGGCUGCAACUCGCCUGCAUGAAGUCGGAGUUGCUAGUAAUCGCGCGUCAGCCACAGUGCGGUGAAUACGGUUCCCGGGCUUU
RNAcentral lists this ribosomal RNA (349 nucleotides) under uncultured Anaerolineaceae bacterium. RNAcentral describes it as "bacterial SSU rRNA". It matches the Rfam family "Bacterial small subunit ribosomal RNA", at positions 1020 to 1382 of the family's 1533-position model. The record is from RNAcentral. Lineage: Bacteria; Bacillati; Chloroflexota; Anaerolineae; Anaerolineales; Anaerolineaceae.